CUCGCCCAGCUCCUACGGAGCACCGUGGGAAUUUUGACAUGGGGGGCACCUUGAUCAGCCAUGCCGCGUGCGGGAAGAGGCUUCGGGUUGUAAAUGAUGGGGCGGGAAGAAAAGGUUACCUCUAACAGAGGUGACUGUUGAAGGUACCGGCAGAAUAAGCACCGGCUAAUCUACGUGCCAGCAGCCGCGGUAAUACGUAGGGUGCGAGCGUUAAUCGGAAUUACUGGGCGUAAAGCGUGCGCAGGCGGUAAGUUAAGUCUGAUGUGAAAGCCCCGGGCUCAACCUGGGAAUGGCAUUGGAAACUGGCUUGCUAGAGUGUGGCAGAGGGGGGUGGAAUUCCGCGUGUAGCAGUGAAAUGCGUAGAGAUGCGGAGGAACACCGAUGGCGAAGGCAGCCCCCUGGGCCAACACUGACGCUCAGGCACGAAAGCGUGGGGAGCAAACAGUUUAUUCAUACCCUGGUAGUCCACGCCCUAAAGAGACUUCAUCUGGCUGUUGGGGAAGCGAUUCCUUCGUACCAUAGCUAACGCUUGAAGUUGACCGCCUGGGGAUUACGCUUUCAAGGUUAAAACUCAAAGGAAUUGACGGGGACCCGCACAAGCGGUGGAUGAUGUGGAUUAAUUCGAUGCAACGCGAACAACCUUACCUACCCUUGACAUGUCCGGAACCCUGCUGAGAGGUGGGGGUGCCCGAAAGGGAAUCGGAACACAGGUGCUGCAUGUCUGUCGUCAGCUCUUGUCGUGAGAUGUUGGGUUAAGUCCCGCGACGAGCGCCACCCCUUGUCCCUUGUCGCUACGCAGGGCACCUCUAGGGAGACUAGCCGGUGACCAAACCGGAGGAAGGUGGGGGAUGACCGUCAAGUCCCUUCUUGGCCCUUAAUUGGGUAGGGCUGUCACACCGGUCUUAUCAUA
This 910-nucleotide ribosomal RNA is filed under the name uncultured bacterium. RNAcentral's name for it is "bacterial SSU rRNA". It matches the Rfam family "Bacterial small subunit ribosomal RNA", at positions 327 to 1232 of the family's 1533-position model. The record is from RNAcentral.